UUUUGUCUUUAUAAUAGCCAUCUAAAUAAGUGUGAAGUGGGAUCUCAUUGUGGUUUUGAUUUGCAUUUCCCUAAUGAUUAAUGAUGUUGAACAUCUUUUCAGUGUGCA
Lynx canadensis (Canada lynx) is the source of this 108-nucleotide long non-coding RNA. RefSeq lists it as uncharacterized. Lineage: Eukaryota; Metazoa; Chordata; Mammalia; Carnivora; Felidae. The record is from RefSeq and is a predicted model, not a curated record. The transcript has 3 exons.